UAUGAACGCUGGCGGCGUGCCUAAUACAUGCAAGUCGAGCGAACGGACGAGAAGCUUGCUUCUCUGAUGUUAGCGGCGGACGGGUGAGUAACACGUGGAUAACCUACCUAUAAGACUGGGAUAACUUCGGGAAACCGGAGCUAAUACCGGAUAAUAUUUUGAACCGCAUGGUUCAAAAGUGAAAGACGGUCUUGCUGUCACUUAUAGAUGGAUCCGCGCUGCAUUAGCUAGUUGGUAAGGUAACGGCUUACCAAGGCAACGAUGCAUAGCCGACCUGAGAGGGUGAUCGGCCACACUGGAACGGAGACACGGUCCAGACUCCUACGGGAGGCAGCAGUAGGGAAUCUUCCGCAAUGGGCGAAAGCCUGACGGAGCAACGCCGCGUGAGUGAUGAAGGUCUUCGGAUCGUAAAACUCUGUUAUUAGGGAAGAACAUAUGUGUAAGUAACUGUGCACAUCUUGACGGUACCUAAUCAGAAAGCCACGGCUAACUACGUG
Molecule: ribosomal RNA, 497 nt
Filed under: uncultured bacterium
Lineage: Bacteria
Description: partial 16S ribosomal RNA
Rfam family: Bacterial small subunit ribosomal RNA
Source: RNAcentral